Molecule: ribosomal RNA, 485 nt
Filed under: uncultured bacterium
Lineage: Bacteria
Description: partial 16S ribosomal RNA
Rfam family: Bacterial small subunit ribosomal RNA
Source: RNAcentral
AGUGAACGCUGGCGGCGUGCUUAACACAUGCAAGUCGAACGAGAACGGAAUAUAGCUUGCUAUAUUUGUCAGCUAAGUGGCGCACGGGUGAGUAAUGUAUAGAUAACCUGCCCUUAAGAAAGGAAUAACAGUUGGAAACGACUGCUAAUGCCCUAUAUGCCUUUAAUACAUAAGUAUGCAAGGGAAACGCUUUAGUGCUUAAGGAUGGGUCUGUAUGGUAUCAGCUUGUUGGUGAGGUAAUGGCUCACAAAGGCUAUGACGCCUAACUGGUUUGAGAGGAUGAUCAGUCACACUGGAACUGAGACACGGUCCAGACUCCUACGGGAGGCAGCAGUGGGGAAUAUUGCACAAUGGACGAAAGUCGGAUGCAGCAACGCCGCGUGGAGGAUGACACAUUUCGGUGCGUAAACUCCUUUUAUAUAGGAAGAUAAUGACGGUACUAUAUGAAUAAGCACCGGCUAACUCCGUGCCAGCCGCCGCGGUAA